GGUAUAGUGGUUUAAGUGCCAGACUAUGACUCUGGAGAUCAGGGUUUGAAUCCCUGCUUUGCCA
RNAcentral lists this transfer RNA (64 nucleotides) under Anolis carolinensis (green anole). It matches the Rfam family "tRNA". Rfam says of the family: Transfer RNA (tRNA) molecules are approximately 80 nucleotides in length. The record is from Rfam by way of RNAcentral. Lineage: Eukaryota; Metazoa; Chordata; Lepidosauria; Squamata; Anolidae.